GACAUGGGGGUUGCGAUCUCCCCACGAGGCGACAGGCUGAAGCAUCGCGUCCUGCUUUUGCGAAAGGGCGCGUUAUG
Sphingomonas sp. 66-10 is the source of this 77-nucleotide non-coding RNA. Lineage: Bacteria; Pseudomonadati; Pseudomonadota; Alphaproteobacteria; Sphingomonadales; Sphingomonadaceae. The record is from Rfam.